UGAGUGAGGCAGCACCUUAUGGGAAAGUCUGCAAGCACAAUUUAAAUAUGAAAUAAAGAAUGCGGGGAUUACCGAAGCCAUGAAUGCUGAGAAAGUUAUCUUCACAUGCAUUCCCUAGUUAAUUAUUGGGUGACAAACUGAAUUUGCUAACCUGUGGCAGGACCACAUAGUUGUUUCCCAAUUGCCAGGUAAGAAACACCCCGUAAAAGUCUACACAUUAUUCAAGUCCAAAUCAUCAACUGCAAUAGUUAAGUUAGACAUUAGAUGCGCAAGGGGGAUGUAAACUGGCAAUAUUCAAUAAAUACAUCCAUACAUGUAAUGCUAAAUAUUGUCCGCUUAUCAUGUUAAAUGUGUUAGAAAACCAAAUGAGCUCCCAUUGAAAAUAGCCUUCAUUAGUUUAAUAAUGAUUAUGUAUGGAACUCAAGGCCCCUGCAAGGUCCCUGAGCACUGGGCCCUCUAGCACUAUUACAACGCAAUUGUUUAAUGAACUUUCAACAUGCACGAGCAAUUUGAGGCUGGACCAAUGCGACCCAUGGAAAAAGCAUUCUGCCAUUACUGACGUGGUUAUAGUAUAAAAACUCGACAGUCCUCUUAACUUGAUGGUGAAGCCUUUCAACAGAUUACUAUGAAAGGUAAGGGACCAUAGCUAAUGGAUUAUGGAUGAUUGAAGUACUUCAUGAACCCACAUCUUAAAAGGGAGCCAUGCCUCAGCAGUUGGAGCUCAUUGCAAAAGAAAUUCUUUCACCUUUGUAUAUGAUAUUCCAUCAUUUCACGGAGACAAUCAGGUAUGUUGUCUUUUGAUGAGUUCUUUUGUGCUUUGAAUGGAUACAAGUUGUAUCAUAGCAUAGUGGCUAAACUUUUCAAUAUGAAUGUUAUAGUUUCUACUUUUCCAAGAUGGGUUGAAUCUGGAGGGUGAGAGAAACCAUUAUCUCUCUCAUCAAUGUGGCUGGAUUUGAACUACUAUGAGUUUAAAUAGUGUAUUAUGUACAGUCAUGGUAAUAUUAUGGAUGGGAGGUUUCCUAAAUACUGCAUGUUUAUGUUCUUAUGCAAAAUAUUUUCAUUAUUAUACGAUAUAGGUGUUAUGUGUAUAUGACUUCUAUUCGAUAACUUGAAAUAUAUUUAUAUCAUUAUACAUAGAUUAUACAUAUCAUUCCAUAAAUAAAAAAUCUACAAAGAGAAUCAAAGUCACACGUAAAAAAAAGUGGCUUCAAAAGCACAUAUUUCUUAGAAACUUAAAAAAAAAAACCACAAACAGAAACAAGAAAAGGUCCAUUUAACUCAAGGAAGGGACCUAUGUCAAUGGAAAAUAAAUCUUGACUCGACAAGAAUAAGACAACAUGGAAUUGGCCUCCAGAAAUAGAUUGAAAUUAUAAAAUCUUACUCAGAAAUUGAAGAAAGAAGCCACAAACAGAAACAAUAAAUCUUGACCCAAGGAAGGGACCUAUGUCAAGGAAAAAUAAAUCUUGACUAAACCCCAAGAGGCCCUUUACAG
This 1492-nucleotide long non-coding RNA is filed under the name Amborella trichopoda. RNAcentral describes it as "long non-coding RNA (ATRI_LNC002464)". Lineage: Eukaryota; Viridiplantae; Streptophyta; Magnoliopsida; Amborellales; Amborellaceae. The record is from RNAcentral.